AACACUGUUAACCUGCGGUACCUGCGGAGGGAUCAUUAACAAGCUGUGGGAGAUCAAUUUGAUCUCACACCUGGCCAACCUUGUUAACCUUAAAUAUAUUGCUUUGGUGAGCCCUGCUCACCAAAGUCAAACCCUAAACUCUUGAUUGUUUCUGCUGUCUGAGCAUGCAAGUGCAAAAUUUAGUUAAAAACUUUUAACAACGGAUCU
This 207-nucleotide unclassified non-coding RNA is filed under the name soil metagenome. Its description in RNAcentral is "partial contains 5.8S ribosomal RNA, internal transcribed spacer 2, and large subunit ribosomal RNA". The record is from RNAcentral.